GUGCUAGCUUUGGCAGCACAUAUGCUAAAAUUGGAAGAAUACAGAGAAGACUAUCAUGGUCCCUGUGCAAGGAUGGCAUUCAAAUUCAUGAAGCAUUCCACAUUUUG
This is a small nuclear RNA of Choloepus didactylus (southern two-toed sloth), 107 nucleotides long. Lineage: Eukaryota; Metazoa; Chordata; Mammalia; Pilosa; Megalonychidae. The record is from RefSeq and is a predicted model, not a curated record.